Molecule: small RNA, 332 nt
Filed under: Arabidopsis thaliana (thale cress)
Lineage: Eukaryota; Viridiplantae; Streptophyta; Magnoliopsida; Brassicales; Brassicaceae
Description: ATSL152800
Source: RNAcentral
GCACUUCAAUUUAUUUUUAAUUCCAAAAAUAUAUUACAGUAAGGGGAUUACUACAAAUAUAUAUUUCUUACAAUUUUAUAGAAUAGUAGUGCCAAAAUGAUAAAAUUUAAAUGGAAAACUAAAAGAGUUCAUCAUCAAUGAUCAAGUGAAACGUAAGAUAUUAAGAGCAUCCCCAACGGUGGGCUUUAAUGAGUCCCUUUAAAAAGAAAAAAGAAAUUAAUUAAAAAAGUAAGAGAGAGAAGAGGAAAAAGAGAAAUGAGUCCCUAACGAGAGGGCUUUGCUUUACUGGACUAAGAAACCCACUUUACAUGUGGAAAAAUAUUAUUGAUCAA